Lolium perenne is the source of this 834-nucleotide non-coding RNA. NCBI's taxonomy places the organism in Eukaryota, Viridiplantae, Streptophyta, Magnoliopsida, Poales, Poaceae. The record is from RefSeq and is a predicted model, not a curated record.
GCGUCUUGAGUUGGUCCACACAAGAACUCCAGAGGCCAUCAUUAUGUUCGCGUCAAGCAAUAUGUAGCAGUUUACACUCACAAGACUCCAUGUGAACAACAAGAUGCUUUACUUCUGUUAGGAACACCCAUGAAGGUAAAGAGGAAAGGACCAAGACCUGAAAUAACUUGUUUGGCCAUGUGGCCGCCCUCCCUAGCUCACUGCCUCUAGCUGACCUGCUGCUGCUCCAACCUGUUGUGGAGUGGCUGCCUCCUCGUCGCCGAAAUCCCAGUGGUGUCACGCCAUGGACGUUCAUCCACAUUCCUAGUAACCAGGUAUCAACAUUUUCUGAAGGUGUCAUUGGAUGGAGCACUAUGCGGCCCGUCCAAGUGUGGCUCCGCAUGGUCUAUCGCCGACUGGCUCGAGCGGUGUGGCUUGCCUCCAAUCCACCGUGAUCUGGCGGUUCUGGCUCUGGCAGUUGCUGGUUGUGGCAUAUGUAGUACUGUUCCUGUUCUUGUAAUCCUCAAUGCAUGAAUUAUCUUGUACAAAUCAGAAGGCUUUAUUCUCAACUUGGACUUGCUGUAUUUAGUUCAAUCAUCAUAUAGGUUAAGAGUUGUAGUCGGUACUUCAUUGUUUGCUGGGAAAUGUCACAUGAGUUGUGUUGUGUAUAUUGGUCAUUAUGUGUUGUUCGUGAUCUCAUUGUCCAAAGAAGAGAGGUCAUGUCAAUUUGUUUGUGUGCUAAUUACCCUGUAAUUGAUUAGCUACCUUUUCUUUCCCUCAAAUGGUCUAGCAGAUCGUUGAGUCAGCUGACCAUGAAUUGGACUUUUUGUGUUGCAUAUGCACUUUUGGGUCAGG